GUGUCAGCCGCCGCGGUAAUACAGAGGUCUCAAGCGUUGUUCGGAUUCAUUGGGCGUAAAGGGUGCGUAGGUGGCGGGGCCAGUCAGGUGUGAAAUCCCGGGGCUUAACCCUGGAACUGCAUUUGAUACUGCCUUGCUGGAGAACUGGAGAGGAGACUGGAAUUUACGGUGUAGCAGUGAAAUGCGUAGAGAUCGUAAGGAAGACCAGUGGCGAAGGCGAGUCUCUGGACAGUUACUGACACUGAGGCACGAAGGCCAGGGGAGCAAACGGGAUUAGAAACCCCCGUAGUCC
RNAcentral lists this ribosomal RNA (292 nucleotides) under uncultured bacterium. Its description in RNAcentral is "partial 16S ribosomal RNA". It matches the Rfam family "Bacterial small subunit ribosomal RNA", at positions 505 to 796 of the family's 1533-position model. The record is from RNAcentral.